RNAcentral lists this ribosomal RNA (391 nucleotides) under uncultured bacterium. RNAcentral describes it as "bacterial SSU rRNA". It matches the Rfam family "Bacterial small subunit ribosomal RNA", at positions 505 to 898 of the family's 1533-position model. The record is from RNAcentral.
GUGCCAGCAGCCGCGGUAAUACGGAGGGUGCAAGCGUUGUCCGGAUUUAUUGGGUUUAAAGGGUGCGUAGGUGGUUUAGUAAGUCUGGUUUGAAAGUCAGCCGCUUAACGGUUGAGGGUGGCUGGAUACUGCUGAACUUGAAUUUUCCGGAGGCAGGCGGAACGGGUUGUGUAGCGGUGAAAUGCAUAGAUAUGACCCAGAACACCGAUUGCGAAGGCAGCCUGCUACGGAUGGAUUGACACUGAGGCACGAGAGCAUGGGGAGCAAACAGGAUUAGAUACCCUGGUAGUCCAUGCCGUAAACGAUGAUUACUGUCUGUUUGGCCUUCGGGCUGAGUGGAUAAGCGAAAGCGAUAAGUAAUCCACCUGGGGAGUACGCCGGCAACGGUGAA